GCCUUAGUGGUGGAAUUGGCAGACACAGCGGACUCAAAAUCCGCCGGAAUUUUCCUUGCAGGUUCAAGUCCUGUCUGAGGCACCA
Molecule: transfer RNA, 85 nt
Filed under: Mycoplasma sp. CSL7503-lung
Lineage: Bacteria; Bacillati; Mycoplasmatota; Mollicutes; Mycoplasmatales; Mycoplasmataceae
Also listed under: 4 other names
Description: tRNA-Leu
Rfam family: tRNA
About the family: Transfer RNA (tRNA) molecules are approximately 80 nucleotides in length.
Source: RNAcentral